This 882-nucleotide unclassified non-coding RNA is filed under the name uncultured Cortinarius. RNAcentral describes it as "sequence contains ITS1, 5.8S rRNA gene, ITS2". The stretch from base 516 to 882 matches the Rfam family "Eukaryotic large subunit ribosomal RNA", at positions 1 to 360 of the family's 3401-position model. Lineage: Eukaryota; Fungi; Basidiomycota; Agaricomycetes; Agaricales; Cortinariaceae. The record is from RNAcentral.
GGAAGGAUCAUUAUUGAAAUAAACCUGAUGGGUUGUUGCUGGUUCUCUAGGGAGCAUGUGCACACCUUGUCAUCUUUAUAUCUCCACCUGUGCACUUUUUGUAGACCUUUCAGGUCUAUGUUGCUUCAUUUACCCCAAUGUAUGUUAAUAGAAUGUUGUGCCUAUAUAAUAUAUACAACUUUCAGCAACGGAUCUCUUGGCUCUCGCAUCGAUGAAGAACGCAGCGAAAUGCGAUAAGUAAUGUGAAUUGCAGAAUUCAGUGAAUCAUCGAAUCUUUGAACGCACCUUGCGCUCCUUGGUAUUCCGAGGAGCAUGCCUGUUUGAGUGUCAUUAAUAUAUCAACCUUCUCUUUAUUGAGUUGUUUGGAUGUGGGGGUUUGCUGGCCUCUUAAAUGAUUCAGCUCCCCUGAAAUGCAUUAGCAGAACAACCUGUUCAUUGGCGUGAUAAUUAUCUAUGCUAUUGAAUGUGAGGGCAGUUCAGCUUUCUAACCGUCCUUGGACAAUUUAUCAUUAAUGUGACCUCAAAUCAGGUAGGACUACCCGCUGAACUUAAGCAUAUCAAUAAGCGGAGGAAAAGAAACUAACAAGGAUUCCCCUAGUAACUGCGAGUGAAGCGGGAAAAGCUCAAAUUUAAAAUCUGGCGGUCUUUUGGCUGUCCGAGUUGUAAUCUAGAGAAGUGUUAUCCGCGCUGGACCGUGUACAAGUCUCCUGGAAUGGAGCAUCAUAGAGGGUGAGAAUCCCGUCUUUGACAUGGACUGCCAGGGCUUUGUGAUGCGCUCUCAAAGAGUCGAGUUGUUUGGGAAUGCAGCUCAAAAUGGGUGGUAAAUUCCAUCUAAAGCUAAAUAUUGGCGAGAGACCGAUAGCGAACAAGUACCGUGAGGGA